Molecule: transfer RNA, 71 nt
Filed under: Camelus bactrianus (Bactrian camel)
Lineage: Eukaryota; Metazoa; Chordata; Mammalia; Artiodactyla; Camelidae
Also listed under: 2 other names
Rfam family: tRNA
About the family: Transfer RNA (tRNA) molecules are approximately 80 nucleotides in length. Their secondary structure includes four short double-helical elements and three loops (D, anti-codon, and T loops).
Source: Rfam by way of RNAcentral
GGGGGUAUAGCUCAGUGGUAGAGCUUGUCUUAGCAUGUGUGAGGUCCUGGGUUCGAUCCCCAGGGCCUUCA